GAUGAACGCUAGCGGCAGGCCUAACACAUGCAAGUCGAGGGAGAGGUUACCUUCGGGUAAUCAAAACCGGCGCACGGGUGCGUAACGCGUAUACAAUCUGCCUUUCACAUAGGGAUAGCCCGAAGAAAUUUGGAUUAAUACCUAAUGGUAUAUAAGAGCGGCAUCGUUUUUAUAUUAAAGCUACGGUGGUGAAAGAUGAGUAUGCGUUCUAUUAGCUAGUUGGAGAGGUAACGGCUCCCCAAGGCGACGAUAGAUAGGGGUUCUGAGAGGGAUGUCCCCCACACUGGUACUGAGAUACGGACCAGACUCCUACGGGAGGCAGCAGUGAGGAAUAUUGGACAAUGGUCGGAAGACUGAUCCAGCCAUGCCGCGUGCAGGAUGAAGGUCCUAUGGAUUGUAAACUGCUUUUGUAAGGGAAGAAUAAGGGGUACGUGUACUUUGAUGACGGUACCUUACGAAUAAGCAUCGGCUAACUCCGUGCCAGCAGCCGCGGUAAUACGGAGGAUGCGAGCGUUAUCCGGAAUCAUUGGGUUUAAAGGGUCCGUAGGCGGGCUGAUAAGUCAGAGGUGAAAGCGCUUAGCUCAACUAAGCAACUGCCUUUGAAACUGUCAGUCUUGAAUGAUUGUGAAGUAGUUGGAAUGUGUAGUGUAGCGGUGAAAUGCUUAGGUAUUACACAGAACACCGAUAGCGAAGGCAUAUUACUAACAAUUUAUUGACGCUGAUGGACGAAAGCGUGGGGAGCGAACAGG
RNAcentral lists this ribosomal RNA (749 nucleotides) under uncultured Capnocytophaga sp. Its description in RNAcentral is "bacterial SSU rRNA". It matches the Rfam family "Bacterial small subunit ribosomal RNA", at positions 28 to 776 of the family's 1533-position model. The record is from RNAcentral. Lineage: Bacteria; Pseudomonadati; Bacteroidota; Flavobacteriia; Flavobacteriales; Flavobacteriaceae.